AACGAAGUGAACUGAAACAUCUAAGUAACUUUAGGAAAAGAAAUCAACCGAGAUUCCGUGAGUAGUGGUGAGCGAAAAUGGA
RNAcentral lists this non-coding RNA (82 nucleotides) under Neolecta irregularis DAH-3. RNAcentral describes it as "Archaeal large subunit ribosomal RNA". It matches the Rfam family "Bacterial large subunit ribosomal RNA", at positions 181 to 263 of the family's 2925-position model. Lineage: Eukaryota; Fungi; Ascomycota; Neolectomycetes; Neolectales; Neolectaceae. The record is from Rfam by way of RNAcentral.